Molecule: unclassified non-coding RNA, 380 nt
Filed under: uncultured bacterium
Lineage: Bacteria
Description: contains 16S-23S intergenic spacer region
Source: RNAcentral
UCCGGCUUGUCACCGGCAGUUUCCCCAAAGUGCCCAGCAUUACCUGAUGGCAACUGGAGACGAGGGUUGCGCUCGUUGCGGGACUUAACCCAACAUCUCACGGCACGAGCUGACGACAGCCAUGCAGCACCUGUGCUAGCUCCCCGAGGGGUCCCUUCCCUUUCGGGUCGGUACUACUAGCAUGUCAAGCCCUGGUAAGGUUCUUCGCGUUGCGACGAAUUAAACCGCACGCUCCGCUGCUUGUGCGGGCCCCCGUCAAUUCCUUUGAGUUUUAGCCUUGCGGCCGUACUCCCCAGGCGGGACACUUAUUGCGUUAGCUUCGGCACGGAAGGAGUCGACACCUCCCACACCUAGUGCCCAUCGUUUACGGCGUGGACUAC